GGGCUGGGGCAACGCUGAUGAAAGGCAAAUUCCUGAGAGAAAAAUCACCCAGAUUUUUCAGUGCCUUCUCUAGCUUUCUAGAAGUUGUUAUGAGUGGACCUGACUACCUAGAGAGAGUAAUACAGAAGCUCCGUGCCGAUCACAGCUACCUCAUUACCAUGUUCCUCCAAGAUGGCCGCCCCUGAGGAGAAUCAUCAACUGGGCUUUACGGAAGAGAGAAAUCCAAACGACCAUCAGCAACAAAUGAAAGACUGAAGUUGAAAGGCAAGUCUUCAGAUUUGAAUUUCAAGAUUGUCAAGAAUGACGAGUUGGACUUGGUCUAGUUACUUCCACAGCAGCAGGAGGAACAUGUGUGUGACUCAGGAUAACUGGGGAAGCCUUGGCUAGGCUUUCCUCAUGUCAACCUACCACUCAAAGGGAGAAAACCUCCUGAUCAGAGGUGCCCAGAACCCAGGAAAUCCAUAAUUUUUGAAUGCUGGCCGAGGUCUGUGACCUCUGACUGAAUGGUUUCCAAGCUCCGAAUUCCUAGGUGAUGUUUUCAUUUGUUCACACUUGCUGAAGAAGGGAAAGGCUCUCUGAUUUACGUGUAAGCAAAACAAUCUAAACAGUAGGAUAAAAUCAUGUUGGAAUGGAGUUCUGUGUGGAUGCUCCUUUGAACCAAAUCAGUUCCACAACUGACCCUG
This 683-nucleotide long non-coding RNA is filed under the name Homo sapiens (human). Its description in RNAcentral is "non-protein coding LINC01206:19". The record is from RNAcentral. Lineage: Eukaryota; Metazoa; Chordata; Mammalia; Primates; Hominidae.